This 399-nucleotide unclassified non-coding RNA is filed under the name soil metagenome. RNAcentral's name for it is "partial contains 5.8S ribosomal RNA, internal transcribed spacer 2, and large subunit ribosomal RNA". The stretch from base 1 to 122 matches the Rfam family "5.8S ribosomal RNA", at positions 35 to 154 of the family's 154-position model. The record is from RNAcentral.
GAUGAAGAACGUAGUGAAAUGCGAUACUUGGUGUGAAUUGCAGAAUCCCGUGAACCAUCGAGUCUUUGAACGCAAGUUGCGCCUCAAGCCAUUAGGUUGAGGGCACGUCUGCCUGGGCGUCACAUAUCGUUGCCUGAUGCCAGUUUCCUCGUGAUGGGUGACUGUGCAGGGCGAAUGAUGGCUUCCCGUGAGCAUUGUUGCCUCAUGGUUGGUUGAAAAUUGAGUCCUUGGUAGGGAGCGCCGUGAUAGAUGGUGGUUGAGUGACGAACGAGACCCAAUCAUGUGAGACCCCUACCGAAUUUGGCCUUCAUGACCCACAUGCGUCUUUGGAACGCUCAUGACGAGACCUCAGGUCAGGCGGGGCUACCCGCUGAGUUUAAGCAUAUCAUAAGCGGAGGA